CAGUCGCCGCGGUAAUACGGAGGGAGCUAGCGUUGUUCGGAAUUACUGGGCGUAAAGCGCGCGUAGGCGGUUACUCAAGUCAGAGGUGAAAGCCCGGGGCUCAACCCCGGAACUGCCUUUGAAACUAGGUGACUAGAAUCUUGGAGAGGUCAGCGGAAUUCCGAGUGUAGAGGUGAAAUUCGUAGAUAUUCGGAAGAACACCAGUGGCGAAGGCGACUGACUGGACAAGUAUUGACGCUGAGGUGCGAAAGCGUGGGGAGCAAACAGGAUUAGAUACCCCCGUAGUCCCUGUCUCUUAUAC
This 301-nucleotide ribosomal RNA is filed under the name uncultured bacterium. RNAcentral describes it as "partial 16S ribosomal RNA". It matches the Rfam family "Bacterial small subunit ribosomal RNA", at positions 509 to 807 of the family's 1533-position model. The record is from RNAcentral.